Molecule: ribosomal RNA, 510 nt
Filed under: uncultured bacterium
Lineage: Bacteria
Description: partial 16S ribosomal RNA
Rfam family: Bacterial small subunit ribosomal RNA
Source: RNAcentral
GACGAACGCUGGCGGCGUGCUUAACACAUGCAAGUCGAACGAAGAGCGAUGGAAGCUUGCUUCUAUCAAUCUUAGUGGCGAACGGGUGAGUAACGCGUAAUCAACCUGCCCUUCAGAGGGGGACAACAGUUGGAAACGACUGCUAAUACCGCAUACGAUCUAAUCUCGGCAUCGAGGAUAGAUGAAAGGUGGCCUCUACAUGUAAGCUAUCACUGAAGGAGGGGAUUGCGUCUGAUUAGCUAGUUGGAGGGGUAACGGCCCACCAAGGCGAUGAUCAGUAGCCGGUCGGAGAGGAUGGACGGCCACAUUGGGACUGAGACACGGCUCAGAGUCCUACGGGAGGCAGCAGUGGGGAAUCUUCCGCAAUGGACGAAAGUCUGACGGAGCAACGCCGCGUGAGUGAUGACGGCCGUCGGGUUGUAAAGCUCUGUUAAUCGGGACGAAAGGGCUUCUUGCGAAUAGUGAGAAGGAUUGACGGUACCGGAAUAGAAAGCCACGGCUAACUACGUG